AUGGCGCUUGGCCAGACCGCUGACCCAGUGUCACGGGAGGGACCGGGGGAUUGGAGGUAUUUUUCUGUGUGGAUUUCAGGGAAAGAUUUUCCAAUCCCACUGAAGACUUUUGAACUCUUCUUCACCCAGAUUCCUGUAAAAGUGUCCUUCAUCUUGCUCUUGUUGAAUUUUGGACUUUUUGGAUCAAGGAUGUAUUUCGAUGCCAAGUGA
Molecule: long non-coding RNA, 210 nt
Filed under: Monodelphis domestica (gray short-tailed opossum)
Lineage: Eukaryota; Metazoa; Chordata; Mammalia; Didelphimorphia; Didelphidae
Description: lncRNA (ENSMODG00000039342.1)
Source: RNAcentral